This 1279-nucleotide unclassified non-coding RNA is filed under the name Hevea brasiliensis (rubber tree). The record is from RNAcentral. Lineage: Eukaryota; Viridiplantae; Streptophyta; Magnoliopsida; Malpighiales; Euphorbiaceae.
CCAACCUAUUAGACUCAACAGAAAGCAAUUGAAGAAUAGGAAAUUCAAUAUACAAAACUAGAAAAGUUUAAAGUUUUUCUUCCGCUUAAAUGGAGCCUUUGCAUUAGCAGAACCAAGGGACUUUAGCAAUAGGCAAGUACACAAAAAUAGAGGUCAUGGCUUGCAGUCUAUGGCAAUAUAACAAAACCAGAUAGAAAUCUAUCUGAGGCCAGAAAAUGUGUGCCUGAACAAAAAGACAUGAAGAUCAGUAGCUAAUUGUCAAAUCAAAGUUGCCAAUCUAUUGGAGGAAUUCCCAUUUUCUCCAAAAGCUUGUUCGUCUGAGAAAAAUGCCUGCAACCAAAGAAGCCUUUGUUUGCAGAUAAACCAGAAGGAUGUGCUGCCUUCAGAAUGUAAUGUUUUGUCCCGUCAAUUAACCUGGAUUUCUCUUGGGCAAAGUUUCCCCACAGGAGAAAAACAACCCCUUCCUUCUUCUGUGAAAUUGUUUUGAUAACAGAAUCCGUAAAUUGUUCCCAUCCUUUUUUAGCAUGGGAGUUUGCUUGACGACUCCUAACUGUAAGAACAGUAUUGAGCAACAGAACGCCCUGAAUGGCCCAAGGUUCUAGAUUUCCAUGAGAUGGAAUUGAACAGCCAAGAUCUUUCUCAAGUUCCUUAAAUAUGUUAACAAGACUUGAAGGAGCCUUGACUCCCUCAGGAACAGAGAAGGAAAGGCCCAUUGCUUGACCAGGGCCAUGAUAAGGAUCCUGCCCAAUGAUAACAGCCUUGACUUUAUCAAAUGGGGUGGAAUUAAAAGCAUUGAAAAUCAUGUGUUGAGGCGGAUAUAUGGGUACACUGCCAUUACAAAUCUCAUUCUCUAGAAAUUUGCAGAGAGUUCUAGCAUAAGGCUUCUGCAAUUCCCCAGGAAGAGCUUCCAACCAGGUCUCCUCCACCAACAGCUCCUCCAAUUUCACAAAGCCCACACCUUCAGUUUUGGACUUGGAAACUAAUUGGGAACAGAGAUUGAGAUUUCGCUUAGACUUAGCACGGAGUUUGUUGAACUCAAUGCGAGAUCUCUGGUGGGUAGUGAGGUCGGAGGAAGAAGAAUCGGAAAUCGAUUUGGAGGCAGUUGUGGAAAAGUGAAGAUUUAGGGGUUUUGAAUGAUCGGAAGGAGAGGAUAGCUUUAUGCGCUUGGCGGGUUGUAAGAAAUCUCUUAGCGUCUUGCUAGAAGCCAUGAUUUCUUCUCAGAGGGGUUUUGGAGGGAAUUUGCCAAUUCUUAUGCCAUCUUUCCAAAAAUGUGGAUAAU